AAACUUGUAAUAUUAAAAAUAGUAACAAUAAAUAAGAUUAUGAUUCUGACUUUGAUUCAUAGCUUGGACGAUGACGUCGAUUAGAUUGAUAGACCAGAGAGAGAGCUAUGGAUAUUUGUGUAUUAAUUGGUGUAGGCACUUGAUCGCAAGGUGACUGCUUCUACUACUUUCAAUCGUGAGCUACAGCUUUUGUGCAUUGAGUGAUAUAGAGAUCAGCAACAGUCCGCGAGAUUAUUGAAGUUACAAAACCUGCGGAAUUUGUCAAUCGUCAUCACGAUUAUUAAGUUUGGAUUAAGCAUUAUUUCCAAUCAGAUUCUCUGCAAAGUGUAGUGAUAAAAUUAAACUAGACCUUCAAGUGCAGUGAAGUGUCAAAGAGGUUAACCAGAUGCGAAAAAGAUGCUACCACCAUGAAUUACAGACGAAAGAUUAAAUAAGCGAUGGAUGGACCUAACGGUCACAUCUCCAGGGUCACCCAAUCAGAAAGGCCGUCCUCAGAGAAAGUCGAGUGCACAGCUUGCCUUCGCGUGACAGUACUCACGUCUACAAAUUUGAAAGUCCACAUAAUUUAGAACUCAAUCGUUUGUUUAUGUGGAAAAUUGUUAGUCAGGUGAUUUGUCACUUGACGACUCUGCGGGAUUUCGUUUUCCAUUCCCGUUGGGUGAAUAGCUCGGUGAAACAGCUUACAUUAGGGCUUAGCACCGUGGACGGGAGGUUCAAGGUGAGAAAACCGUAGAAGCGCCCAAAGGAAGAACAGAGUCACUGAGAAGAAGCAAUCCACACAAAACCUUAUCACGGACAAGAACCAAAACCACAUACCCUGAACUGCGGCUGUAAGUGGAGAUAAUUGUUGCAACCAUACAGAGAUCCCAGCUCAUCAAACAUCGCCAGAUCACGGAGAGGUUCACAUCUAUCUAGCCGCCACCUGAGCGCACGAUGAAGCCACAGCUGUGGUGUUUCAAGCCCAGCCGCUCUCAUGCUCUGCCUUAGAGGUGAGGCAAAUAUAACAACAUCAACGACGACCGAACAAAGCAGUCAGUAGGAACCCGAAACGACACCCAACAGCAAAACAUACAAGAAAACCCCUAAGAAUAACCAGCUCGGACGAACACCCACACAUCAAAGAAACAAUUUUGCUCAUACACGAGAGUAUUACUGGAAUGCACAAAGCGAGGGAGGCACAAGACUCCUACAGCACAAU
This 1198-nucleotide long non-coding RNA is filed under the name Physcomitrium patens. RNAcentral describes it as "long non-coding RNA (PPAT_LNC008845)". The record is from RNAcentral. Lineage: Eukaryota; Viridiplantae; Streptophyta; Bryopsida; Funariales; Funariaceae.